Molecule: ribosomal RNA, 253 nt
Filed under: uncultured bacterium
Lineage: Bacteria
Description: partial 16S ribosomal RNA
Rfam family: Bacterial small subunit ribosomal RNA
Source: RNAcentral
UACGUAGGGUGCUAGCGUUGUCCGGAAUUAUUGGGCGUAAAGAGCUUGUAGGUGGCUCGUUGCGUCGGGAGUGAAAACCUGCGGCUUAACCGCAGGCCUGCUUCCGAUACGGGCGAGCUAGAGUUCGGCAGGGGAGACUGGAAUUCCUGGUGUAGCGGUGGAAUGCGCAGAUAUCAGGAGGAACACCGGUGGCGAAGGCGGGUCUCUGGGCCGAUACUGACACUGAGGAGCGAAAGCGUGGGGAGCGAACAGG